Molecule: long non-coding RNA, 754 nt
Organism: Sarcophilus harrisii (Tasmanian devil)
Lineage: Eukaryota; Metazoa; Chordata; Mammalia; Dasyuromorphia; Dasyuridae
Exons: 4
Source: RefSeq, a predicted model, not a curated record
UGGAGAAUUCUAGAACUCUAGAAGAGAGAAGCAAGCUUUCUGCAGAAAUGAGAAUGCUGAUGCUGAGCAGGGUUUAAACAGAUCCUGCCAGUGGGAAUGUAAUUUGGGUCAAUGAAUCAUAAAUCCUAUUUUGGUAAUUUGCUGAAGACAAGAGCAUUGGAAUCAUAGCCAUCUUAAUGGACAUAGCUUGAAAGAGACACUGAUAGCUAAGCGACAUAAGGAGGUGGAGGAGAAUGAUUGAAGGGACCCUAAGGAGGGACCCAUCACAAAUGGACCACAUCAUUCACAACCCACUGGAACCUGACACUCAAGUUCCUGGAGAGAGAGAAAUAAUUUUAACAGAAGAUUCUACCUAAAAUCAAAACUACAGUUAACCUCUACUGUUUUCACACAGUUCUCAAGUACUGUAUCUAUCUGAAGUGUUUUGCAUCAACUCCUAAUGACUAUGGAUUUACUCGGGACCUUAAGACCAGAACUUUUCCAGAAAGCCAGCAAAUACCCCCUCAAUUUUUACUUUUACUUUUUGUACUUAAUAAUUCAAUCCAAUAAACAUUAAGAGCUCAUUACGUGCCAGGUACUGUGUUAAGCUUUGUUAUCGAAUACAUAUAGGUAUUCUAAAGAGCGUGUACAUCACACAAGGGACAUUGGGUAUUUAACCUAUGUAUUUUUAACGCAAAUGUAACUAUGAUAAUGGUCUUCCUUUGAAAAGCUCAGCAAACUGGGCAGCCCAGCCCACAAGACUCCCCGGAGCGUU